AUUGAACGCUGGCGGCAGGCUUAACACAUGCAAGUCGAGCGGGGUGAUGGUGCUUGCACUAUCACUUAGCGGCGGACGGGUGAGUAAUGCUUAGGAAUCUGCCUAUUAGUGGGGGACAACAUCUCGAAAGGGAUGCUAAUACCGCAUACGUCCUACGGGAGAAAGCAGGGGAUCACUUGUGACCUUGCGCUAAUAGAUGAGCCUAAGUCGGAUUAGCUAGUUGGUGGGGUAAAGGCCUAUCAAGGCGACGAUCUGGAGCGUGUCUGAGAGGAUGAUCCGCCACACUGGGACUGGGACACGGCCCAGACUCCUACGGGAGGAAGCAGUGGGGAAUAUUGGACAAUGGGGGGAACCCUGAUCCAGCCAGGCCGCGUGUGUGAAGAAGGCCUUAUGGUUGUAAAGCACUUUAAGCGAGGAGGAGGCUCUUUUGGUUAAUACCCAAGAUGAGUGGACGUUACUCGCAGAAUAAGCACCGGCUAACUCUGUGCCAGCAGCCGCGGUAA
RNAcentral lists this ribosomal RNA (503 nucleotides) under uncultured bacterium. RNAcentral's name for it is "partial 16S ribosomal RNA". It matches the Rfam family "Bacterial small subunit ribosomal RNA", at positions 30 to 523 of the family's 1533-position model. The record is from RNAcentral.